AGUUCGAUUAUGGCCUAGAUUGAACGCUGGCGGGAUGCUUUACACAUGCAAGUCGAACGGCAGCACGGACUUCGGUCUGGUGGCGAGUGGCGAACGGGUGAGUAAUGUAUCGGAACGUGCCUAGUAAGCGGGGGAUAAUCUGCGCGAAAGUGUAGCGACACGUGAUAUUGCCUGGGAAAGCGGGGACCUUCGGGCCUCGCACCAUUAGAGCGGCCGAUAUCGGAUUAGCUAGUUGGUGGGGUAACGGCUCACCAAGGCGACGAUCCGUAGCUGGUUUGAGAGGACGACCGCUUGGGACUGAGACACGGCCUGAAAUUCACGGGAGGCAGUGGGGAAUUUUGGACAAUGGGGGGAACUGAUCCAGCCAUCCCGCGUGUGCGAUGAAGGCCUUCGGGUUGUAAAGCACUUUUUGGCAGGAAAGAAACGGCACGGGAUAAUACCCCGUGCAACUGACGGUACCUGCAGAAUAAGCACCGCCACAUGUGCCAGCAGCCGCGGUAAUACGUAGGGUGCAAGCGUUAAUCGGAAUUACUGGGCGUAAAGCGUGCGCAGGCGGUUCGAAAGAAAGAUGUGAACCAGAGCUUAACUUUUGAACUGCAUUUUUGAAUCUACCGAGCUAGAGUACGAGGGAGGUGGAAUUCCGCGUGUAGCAGUGAAAUGCGUAGAUAUGCGGAGGAACACCGAUGGCGAAGGCAGCCCUCCCCGGGAUUACACCUGACGCCUGCGCAACGAAAGCGUGGGAGCAAACAGGAUUAGAUACUCCUGGUAGUCCAUGCCCUCUGCUGCCGAAUUUAGGUCGCUGGGCCUUCGGGCUCCUUGGUAUGCAGCUAACGCGAAGCGACCGCCUGUGGAGUACGGUCGCAAGAUUAAAAUCAAAGCGAACACGGGGACCUGCACAAGCGGUGGAUGAUGUGGAUUAAUUCGAUGCAACGCGAAAAACCUUACCUACCCUUGACAUGUCUGGAAUCCCGGAAGAGAUUUGGAGUGCUUCGGCAGGAACCGGAACACAGGUGCUGCAUGGCUGUCGUCAGCUCGUGUCGCUGAGAUGUUUGGGCGAGCCCCGCAACGAGCGCAACCUUGUCAUUAGUUGCUACGAAAGGGCACCUCAGACGAGACUGCCGGUGACAAACCGGAGGAAGGUGGGGAUGACGUCAAGUCCUCAUGGCCCUGGCGGGUAGGGCUUCAAUACGUCAUAACAAUGUCGGGACAGAGGGUCGCCAACCCGCGAGGGGAGCCAUCCCAGAAACCCGAUCGUAGUAAGUCCGAUCGCAGUCUGCAACUCGACUGCGUGAAGUCGGAAUCGCUAGUAAUCGCGGAUCAGCAUGUCGCGGUGAAGAUGCCCCCGGUCUUGUGCCACACCGCCCGUCACACCAUGGGAGUGGGUUUUACCAGAAGUAGUUAGCCUAACCGUAAGGAGGGCGAUUAAUGUGUGAUUCAUGACUGGGUAGUCGCAACAAGGU
This 1460-nucleotide ribosomal RNA is filed under the name uncultured Bordetella sp. RNAcentral's name for it is "partial 16S-23S ribosomal RNA intergenic spacer". It matches the Rfam family "Bacterial small subunit ribosomal RNA". Lineage: Bacteria; Pseudomonadati; Pseudomonadota; Betaproteobacteria; Burkholderiales; Alcaligenaceae. The record is from RNAcentral.